CCCGCACAAGCGGUGGAGUAUGUGGUUUAAUUCGAUGCAACGCGAAGAACUUACCUGGUCUUGACAUCCCGGAGACCCUUAGGAAACUAGGGGGUGCUUCCAUCUGGAAGAAUCUGGAGACAGGUGCUGCAUGGCUGUCGUCAGCUCGUGUCGUGAGAUGUUGGGUUAAGUCCCGCAACGAGCGCAACCCUUGCCUUUAGUUGCCAGCAGUUCGGCUGGGCACUCUAAAGGGACUGCCGGUGUUAAACCGGAGGAAGGUGGGGAUGACGUCAAGUCCUCAUGGCCUUUAUGACCAGGGCUACACACGUACUACAAUGGCCGAUACAAAGGGCAGCGACACUGCGAGGUGAAGCCAAUCCCGUAAAAUCGGUCUCAGUCCGGAUUGGAGUCUGCAACUCGACUCCAUGAAGUUGGAAUCGCUAGUAAUCGUGGAUCAGCAUGCCACGGUGAAUACGUUCCCGGGCCUU
Molecule: ribosomal RNA, 467 nt
Filed under: uncultured Desulfobulbus sp.
Lineage: Bacteria; Pseudomonadati; Thermodesulfobacteriota; Desulfobulbia; Desulfobulbales; Desulfobulbaceae
Description: bacterial SSU rRNA
Rfam family: Bacterial small subunit ribosomal RNA
Source: RNAcentral